AGUGAACGCUGGCGGUAGGCCUAACACAUGCAAGUCGAACGGCAGCACAGUAAGAGUUUGCUCUUACGGGUGGCGAGUGGCGGACGGGUGAGGAAUACAUCGGAAUCUACUUUUUCGUGGGGGAUAACGUAGGGAAACUUACGCUAAUACCGCAUACGACCUACGGGUGAAAGCAGGGGAUCUUCGGACCUUGCGCGAUUGAAUGAGCCGAUGUCGGAUUAGCUAGUUGGCGGGGUAAAGGCCCACCAAGGCGACGAUCCGUAGCUGGUCUGAGAGGAUGAUCAGCCACACUGGAACUGAGACACGGUCCAGACUCCUACGGGAGGCAGCAGUGGGGAAUAUUGGACAAUGGGCGCAAGCCUGAUCCAGCCAUACCGCGUGGGUGAAGAAGGCCUUCGGGUUGUAAAGCCCUUUUGUUGGGAAAGAAAAGCAGCAGGUUAAUACCCCGCUGCUCUGACGGUACCCAAAGAAUAAGCACCGGCUAACUUCGUG
Molecule: ribosomal RNA, 492 nt
Filed under: uncultured bacterium
Lineage: Bacteria
Description: partial 16S ribosomal RNA
Rfam family: Bacterial small subunit ribosomal RNA
Source: RNAcentral